This 97-nucleotide transfer RNA is filed under the name Klebsiella phage Muenster. RNAcentral describes it as "tRNA-Leu". It matches the Rfam family "tRNA". From Rfam's summary of the family: Transfer RNA (tRNA) molecules are approximately 80 nucleotides in length. Lineage: Duplodnaviria; Heunggongvirae; Uroviricota; Caudoviricetes. The record is from RNAcentral.
GUGGGUGUGGCGGUAUUGGUUGUACGCAAAGGUCUUAAAAACCUUCAGAGGGCUUAAAAUGCAUUCCUCUUGUGAGUUCGAAUCUCAUCACCCGUAC